GAUCCCAUCAGAACUCCGAAGUUAAGCGUGCUUGGGCGAGAGUAGUACUAGGAUGGGUGACCCCUUGGGAAGUCCUCUUGUUGCACCC
This 88-nucleotide ribosomal RNA is filed under the name Panax ginseng (ginseng). The record is from RNAcentral. Lineage: Eukaryota; Viridiplantae; Streptophyta; Magnoliopsida; Apiales; Araliaceae.